GUAGGUGGCAAGCGUUGUCCGGAAUUAUUGGGCGUAAAGCGCGCGCAGGCGGUUCUUUAAGUCUGAUGUGAAAGCCCACGGCUCAACCGUGGAGGGUCAUUGGAAACUGGAGAACUUGAGUACAGAAGAGGAAAGCGGAAUUCCACGUGUAGCGGUGAAAUGCGUAGAGAUGUGGAGGAACACCAGUGGCGAAGGCGGCUUUCUGGUCUGUAACUGACGCUGAGGCGCGAAAGCGUGGGGAGCAAACAGGGAUUAGAUACCCUGGUAUUCCACGCCGUAAACGAUGAGUGCUAAGUGUUAGGGGGGUUUCCGCCCCCUUAGUGCUGCAGCUAACGCAUUAAGCACUCCGCCUGGGGAUACGGCCGCAAGGCUG
RNAcentral lists this ribosomal RNA (373 nucleotides) under uncultured organism. RNAcentral's name for it is "partial 16S ribosomal RNA". It matches the Rfam family "Bacterial small subunit ribosomal RNA", at positions 527 to 896 of the family's 1533-position model. The record is from RNAcentral.